RNAcentral lists this ribosomal RNA (274 nucleotides) under uncultured bacterium. Its description in RNAcentral is "partial 16S ribosomal RNA". It matches the Rfam family "Bacterial small subunit ribosomal RNA", at positions 523 to 796 of the family's 1533-position model. The record is from RNAcentral.
AUACGAAGGGGGCUAGCGUUGUUCGGAAUUACAGGGCGUAAAGCGCGCGUAGGCGGACUGAUCAGUUGGGGGUGAAAUCCCAGGGCUUAACCCUGGAACUGCCUCCAAUACUGUCAGUCUUGAGUUCGGGAGAGGUGAGUGGAAUUCCUAGUGUAGAGGUGAAAUUCGUAGAUAUUAGGAAGAACACCAGUGGCGAAGGCGGCUCACUGGCCCGAUACUGACGCUGAGGCGCGAAAGCGUGGGGAGCAAACAGGAUUAGAUACCCUAGUAGUCC